CAGGCUCAUCUACUCCACUUUUUAAACUGACUGUGUAAAAAGGCAUCCAGAGUUAUCAUCUGUAUCUGUUUCCUUGCUGAUGCCUCUCACAGGGAUGAGACUGCUCUUUCAGACAGCUGUAUGACUGCAGCCUCAGGAGCUCCUUCUCUUCACCACUUUAAACGUUGUGGGGCAUGUCUUGUGGCUCUCAGACAGGGAGAGGAGAGAAGGCUGCAGAAGCCAUCCUCUUUCCUUCAGCUGACAGUGAAAAGCAGAUUUCUUGAUUGUAUGCAAAGGAUAUUGGAAAUGAUAAACUACAGUGGAAUUAUUCAAGAUGUGGGGUAAUCUUUAAGCAGAAAAUACACUGGCAGGUUGGUUUUGCUUUUUUUUUUUGAAAGCCUAGUUCAAAGAGUAUGCAGGCAUAUAAU
This 407-nucleotide long non-coding RNA is filed under the name Cyanistes caeruleus (blue tit). Its description in RNAcentral is "lncRNA (ENSCCEG00000015034.1)". Lineage: Eukaryota; Metazoa; Chordata; Aves; Passeriformes; Paridae. The record is from RNAcentral.